GUGAAAUUGUAGUAGCAGUGAAGAUGCUGUUUACCCGCAAAAGGACGAAAAGACCCCGUGAACCUUUACUGUACUUUGGUAUUGAUUCUUGAUUUGUUAUGUGUAGCAUAGCCAGGAGACUGAGAACACUCUUCGUCAGGAGAGUGGGAGUCAUCGUUGAAAUACUGGUCUUAACAAGUUGGGAAUCUAACAUAAUUCCAUGAAUCUGGAAUAUGGACAUUGCCAGACGGGCAGUUUUACUGGGGCGGUAUCCUCCUAAAAAGUAACGGAGGAGCCCAAAGCUUAUUUCAUCGUGGUUGGCAAUCACGAGUAGAGCGUAAAGGUAUAAAAUAGGUUGACUGCAAGACCUACAAGUCAAGCAGAGACGAAAGUCGGGCUUAGUGAUCCGGCGGUGGAAAGUGGAAUCGCCGUCGCUUAACGGAUAAAAGGUACUCCGGGGAUAACAGGCUGAUCGCCACCAAGAGUUCAUAUCGACGUGGCGGUUUGGCACCUCGAUGUCGGCUCAUCGCAUCCUGGGGCUGGAGAAGGUCCCAAGGGUUUGGCUGUUCGCCAAUUAAAGCGGUACGCGAGCUGGGUUCAAAACGUCGUGAGACAGUUUGGUCUCUAUCCUUUGUGGGCGCAGGAUACUUGAAAGGAGCUGUUCCUAGUACGAGAGGACCGGAAUGGACGAACCAAUGGUGUGUCGGUUGUUUUGCCAAAAGCAUAGCCGAGUAGCUACGUUCGGAAAGGAUAAGCAUUGAAAGCAUCUAAAUGCCAAGCCUCCCUUAAGAUAAGGUAUCCCUAUGAGACUCCAUAUAGACUAUGUGGUUGAUAGGUUGGGUGUGUACGCACAGUAAUGUGUUUAGCUAACCAAUACUAAUAAGUCCAUUGACUUGGUUU
This 879-nucleotide ribosomal RNA is filed under the name Chlamydia psittaci 84-8471/1. RNAcentral's name for it is "bacterial LSU rRNA". It matches the Rfam family "Bacterial large subunit ribosomal RNA", at positions 2036 to 2925 of the family's 2925-position model. Lineage: Bacteria; Pseudomonadati; Chlamydiota; Chlamydiia; Chlamydiales; Chlamydiaceae. The record is from RNAcentral.